RNAcentral lists this ribosomal RNA (439 nucleotides) under uncultured bacterium. RNAcentral's name for it is "partial 16S ribosomal RNA". It matches the Rfam family "Bacterial small subunit ribosomal RNA", at positions 339 to 795 of the family's 1533-position model. The record is from RNAcentral.
CUACGGGUGGCUGCAGUGAGGAAUAUUGCACAAUGGGGGGAACCCUGAUGCAGCAACGCCGCGUGGAGGAUGACGCAUUUCGGUGUGUAAACUCCUUUUAUAUGUCAAGAAAAUGACGGUAGCAUAUGAAUAAGCACCGGCUAACUCCGUGCCAGCAGCCGCGGUAAUACGGAGGGUGCAAGCGUUACUCGGAAUCACUGGGCGUAAAGGACGCGUAGGCUGGUUGGUAAGUCAGGUGUGAAAUCCUACAGCUUAACUGUAGAACUGCACUUGAAACUACCAACCUAGAGUAUGGGAGGGGGAGAUGGAAUUAGUGGUGUAGGGGUAAAAUCCGUAGAUAUCACUAGGAAUACCGAAAGCGAAGGCGAUCUCCUGGAACAUAACUGACGCUAAGGCGUGGAAGCGUGGGGAGCAAACAGGAUUAGAUACCCGCGUAGUC